RNAcentral lists this ribosomal RNA (201 nucleotides) under uncultured bacterium. RNAcentral describes it as "partial 16S ribosomal RNA". It matches the Rfam family "Bacterial small subunit ribosomal RNA", at positions 328 to 539 of the family's 1533-position model. The record is from RNAcentral.
ACGCUCGACAUCUACGGGAGGCAGCAGUGGGGAAUAUUGCACAAUGGGGGAAACCCUGAUGCAGCAACGCCGCGUGAAGGAAGAAGUAUUUCGGUAUGUAAACUUCUAUCAGCAGGGAAGAAAAAGAUGACGGUACCUGACUAAGAAGAACCGGCUAAAUACGUGCCAACAGCCGCGGUAAUCUGAGCGGGCUGGCAAGGC